Drosophila virilis is the source of this 1291-nucleotide long non-coding RNA. RefSeq lists it as uncharacterized. The record is from RefSeq and is a predicted model, not a curated record. Lineage: Eukaryota; Metazoa; Arthropoda; Insecta; Diptera; Drosophilidae.
AACAGGCCCUUGCCCUCUUUUUUUGCCUCCUUUUUUUUUUCAUCUACCGCAUGCUGGAGCUUGCGCUUUCUCUUUGGCUUUUGCAAGAGAGUUUUUUGGACAGAGUUAAUUAUGCUCAGGCUCUGUUGUUUCUAUCGGCCCAUCGCGUAUAUCAUUUCAAAAGAUAAUUGUUAAAUUCAUUCAAAUUGGGAAAUUUUAAAGUCAAUCUUCAUAAAUUUUAACAAAGUUGAAAUCCUCGAUUUUGGGAAUGCAAAAUACUCUUUCCCUACUACUGGUUCCAGUCUUUUUCGGGAUUGUUUAUUUAUGAAAGUCUCCCUUCUACUUGUAGAUGUCAAUAAAAUAACUUUGCGUAUCAAUGAGUAUUUUCGGGCAAGCUCUCUGUUGUCUGCCCCCCUCUUGCAAACGCGUCAGAUUUGUGCAGCUGCCACGCCCAGGAAAUAGUGAACUUCAAUUGGCUGGCAAUUAGCGAUGAUUGUUAAAGAGCUCUUGCUGUGCGCUUUAUCAGACUUUUAUGGACUGGCGUGGACGCAGCUGGGCAGUCGGACAGAUGGACAGGUGGACAGACCUUUCCGCCUAGACGCUGGCGACCAAAGGCGACCCGUUAAGCAAAUAGGAAGGAAACAAACAUGGUCCAAAAAGCAGAACAGAACCAGAACCAGAACUCGAACCAGAACCAGAACCAAGAGCAAACAGAACCAGUGAAGCAAGUCGCGUCGCGUCACCUGCGUGCGUGUGUGUGUGUGUGUGUGAGUGUGUGUGUGUGUGUGCUAGCCAGGUGUAAGCUGUCAGUGGCAAGGCCAAAAAGGGGGCUUAAGAGAGGGGCCAGGCAGGCAGGCCGGUUAGCAACAACAAAUGACGGAAACGUUUGGCCAGCGCGAACAUGGGAAAUGACACUAGGAAAUCGCUUGUAAACAACUCGCUCAGUGACUGUGCGCAGGUGUGUGUGUGUGUGUGAGUGUGUGUGGAAUGACCGACAUCAUCAUCAACACCAUCAACACCAUCAUCAUCAUCAUCAUCAUCAUCAUCAUCAUCAUGGCGUUAUCAUCAUUGUGCAACUGAAAUGUUGCCCAGCUUUUGAGAUUUGUGAUAACGUCUCAUAUGCAAAUUCUGUCACGUCUGCCGCGGAAGACGACGCUUAGACGUGGCCGUCGUAUAGGUGCCCCCGGCCAGAUUAUGGAUAUGAAGUGCCAGUUGAAGUGGCCAGCGAUAAGAAUUAUUAUUGCCAAACGUUUGCUGAUAAGCGCAAUCAGAGCGAAAACUAGACACACAGAGAAAACGAAAAAAAAAAAAA